This 186-nucleotide non-coding RNA is filed under the name Desulfatibacillum alkenivorans. RNAcentral also lists the same sequence under 1 other name. Lineage: Bacteria; Pseudomonadati; Thermodesulfobacteriota; Desulfobacteria; Desulfobacterales; Desulfatibacillaceae. The record is from RNAcentral.
AAUAAAAGGAGCAGCUCCGGCGCCGCAAAGCUUAAUAGGGAAGACGGUGAAAAUCCGUCACGGGUGCGCCGCUGUUACCGGGGACGAAAGCCGUAAUGAAUCCACUGUUCGCUGUAUGGGAAUGGGAAGGAACGGUUAGUAGGACGAUCCGGAAGUCAGAAUACCUGGCGGGGUUGCGCAAUCGGU